UUUAUCCCAUGGCAUGCUGGAUGAAAUGAAGCAUCCACUUAUUUGUGAGGCCGUAAUUAAUUUCGGACUUGAUAAUCAAAAUGGAUUAAGGAAGGGGAUAAAAAUAUCAAGUAUUUCCAUACUAAUUUCAGGAGUUGGCAAUAUCUCCGACCCCCGGUGUGGAGGAAGACGAUUGGAAGGAGAAGGAGGAGGCGGCUUUGUGGAACUAUGACUCCCUUUGUCAAUGGAAAAUGUACCCUUUAAAAGUCUGGGUGAUAGCAGUGCCACCGUCUUAGAACAAGAAUUUUCAAUUUUCAGUGGAAGAAGUCAAAGAGGCUGUUUUCGAACUACCAGGAGAUAAAGCACCAGGGCUAGAUGGGUUUCAGAUAGGUGCCGGAUCUGGACCCAAAAAUAUUACGGAAUCCACACCCAGACCUAGACCACUUUGAUUAAGGCCACACUGACCAUUAUACCUGUAUACUAAAUCUCAUUGUAGAGAGCUUCUAUACAUCUGAUCAAAUGUUUAGAAAAGUUGAUGUAUAAUUUUUUGUGGAGUGGAUCUAUAGAAGGGAGAAAAUUCUGCUUGGUAAAAUGAGAAAGUGAGGGAGGUUUGGGUAUAAAAAAGCUCAAAGCUAUGAAUGAGUCACUUUUAAAUAAUUGAUGGUGGAGAUUUGGCUAUGAUACCU
RNAcentral lists this long non-coding RNA (665 nucleotides) under Amborella trichopoda. RNAcentral's name for it is "long non-coding RNA (ATRI_LNC001180)". The record is from RNAcentral. Lineage: Eukaryota; Viridiplantae; Streptophyta; Magnoliopsida; Amborellales; Amborellaceae.